AGAGUUUGAUCCUGGCUCAGGACAAACGCUGGCGGAAUGUAUUAGGCAUGCAAGUCGCACGAGCCUUCGGGCUAGUGGCGGACGGGUGAGUAACACGUGGGUAACCUGCCUCGUAGUGGGGAAUAACUCGCCGAAAGGCGAGCUAAUACCGCAUAACACCUCCGGUGAGAGACCGGGUGGUAAAAGCUCCGGCGCUAUGAGAGGGGCCCGCGGCCGAUUAGCUAGUUGGUGGGGUAAUGGCCUACCAAGGCGACGAUCGGUAGCUGGUCUGAGAGGAUGGUCAGCCACACUGGGACUGAGACACGGCCCAGACUCCUACGGGAGGCAGCAGUGGGGAAUCUUGCGCAAUGGGCGAAAGCCUGACGCAGCGACGCCGCGUGCGGGAAGAAGGCCUUCGGGUUGUAAACCGCUUUCAGGAGGGACGAAGCCACUCGGGUUAAUAGCCCAGAGGGUGACGGUACCUCCAGAAGAAGCCCCGGCUAACUACGUGCCAGCCGCCGCGGUAAUAC
Molecule: ribosomal RNA, 509 nt
Filed under: uncultured bacterium
Lineage: Bacteria
Description: bacterial SSU rRNA
Rfam family: Bacterial small subunit ribosomal RNA
Source: RNAcentral